This 88-nucleotide transfer RNA is filed under the name Lomariopsis japurensis. Its description in RNAcentral is "tRNA-Ser". It matches the Rfam family "tRNA". Rfam says of the family: Transfer RNA (tRNA) molecules are approximately 80 nucleotides in length. Their secondary structure includes four short double-helical elements and three loops (D, anti-codon, and T loops). Lineage: Eukaryota; Viridiplantae; Streptophyta; Polypodiopsida; Polypodiales; Lomariopsidaceae. The record is from RNAcentral.
GGAGAGAUGACCGAGCGGUUUAAAGUGUCGGAUUGCUAAUCCGUUGUACAACUCUCAUGUACCGAGGGUUCGAAUCCCUCUCUCUCCU